GCAUGAGGCACCUACAGGCAGAGGAUUAAUUAGGUUUUCAGUUUCAGUUUCCCAGAAAGGAGGUGUCUCUGUGGUGACGAGCAGGGCUUCAUCCAGUGCCUCUGUCCCCACCGAGGGGACUAUGGGAGACAUGGAGGGUGUGUGAGCAACAGGUGAGACUGGAGCCAGCUGAAAACUGGGAGACCGACCCAGCCAACAAACAAUGUCGGUCUCUGUCUUGGCACCUGCAGGAAACAAGCUCCUACUUCCAGAAAAAGUGCUCCUGGGACUCCAGGAUACCAGGCAUCUGGGUAAGCUACAAUGCUUAACCACUUAACACAAUCAGGAAGCAACAGCCAUGCAUUCGGGAAAGGAACUUCAGUGUUGUGUGGCUCAGUCUCCAGACCUAACUUUCCCUUUGGUACAGACGCGGUGGUACAUGCCUGUAAUCCCAACACUUAGGCAGGAGGAUCACUCGAGCCCAGAAGAUCAAGACUAGUGUGAGCAACAAAGUGAGUUUCCCCCCACCCCUCACCUCAACAAAACAUUUAAAAAUUAGCUGGACAUGGUGGCUGCGCCUGUGGUGGCUGGAGUGCAGUGGUGU
This 583-nucleotide long non-coding RNA is filed under the name Homo sapiens (human). Its description in RNAcentral is "BST2 interferon stimulated positive regulator". The record is from RNAcentral. Lineage: Eukaryota; Metazoa; Chordata; Mammalia; Primates; Hominidae.